Rosa rugosa (rugosa rose) is the source of this 2125-nucleotide long non-coding RNA. RefSeq lists it as uncharacterized. The transcript has 2 exons. NCBI's taxonomy places the organism in Eukaryota, Viridiplantae, Streptophyta, Magnoliopsida, Rosales, Rosaceae. The record is from RefSeq and is a predicted model, not a curated record.
CUUAACAUGAGCCUAGCUCUAAUAACUUAUAUGUCAUAUCACUCAUAUGUACGUACAUAUAAAACCAAAUUCAAAGUUCCUCCGAGUUUCAGAAGCUCACUUACAAUAUGCAAGAUCGAUGGAACAAUUACCUAUAAAUUAACGAGAUCACGCAUUAAUGCCUGAAUACACGAAGACGUCUAGUGGGUGAAACCGUGAGAGUGGCCCUAGUGGGACUGCAUCGGAGGACAUGCCAAAAGAACACCGACCUCCAUAUUUGAAAGCUUUAGGGUCCUUGACAAAGAGAAGGAUAUUUAUGGAAUUUCGAUGUCACAGGCAGGCGGAAAGUGACGGCCGCAGCUACUUGCUACCUCCACUAGAUAGUGGUUUCCUUAAAAAACGACGAGCCAAUGGAGUAAAAACGGUCGGACUCAGACAUACAGCUUGGCAUCUCCCGACUCCUGAGCCGCCACCGUCAAGCAUUCUCAAUAGCAAUUGCAGAGAUGAAAGCAAAUUUAACCUUCACCUUGGCUCUUCCAAAUUAAUUAAAAUGGCUUUGUUGAUCUCAGUUCAGUAAGCAUAGACUGGCUGGAGUGCAAGUACUGGUUCUUGGUGGGUUGUCUCUUCAUCGAUAUAUAUAUCAACCUUUCGAGAAGAAGGUAUACAUGCAUUCAUGUCUGAGAUGCAAAAACUACGGUGAUUAGGGAGCCAGUUGCAAUUUCAGAAAAGGAAGAUGAUUGCUUUUGUUUUCUUUCUACUAGGAUUAAGGAAUGCCAUGGGAUUGAAAGAAAACGAUAUAGCAUACACUACAAGAAAAAUAGUCUAUGACAACAUCAUAUUUACAACAUGCUGUAAAUGCUCGUUGUCAUCUCUAAUAUUCUACAACAUGCGCAGAAAGAGUGUUGUAUUAAAUUAUUUACCACUACAUGCGUCAUUUGCAUGUUGUUAAUUUCGUUAUCGAUAACUCAGUUUGCACGUUGUUGUCUACUUGUUGUCAAUUAAUGUAUCAACAAGUAGGAGUGCAUGUUGUUAAAUAUUUUCAAAACAACAACGUGCAGCUAACGCGGUCGAAACUUUGAGAUAAAAGAUUAAAAAAAAAAAAAAAACAAAAGGGCCUGUUGACUAAAGUCAGUAAAAAAAAGAAGCAUCAGCUCUCUAAAUCCAUCAUAGACCCAAAACAUAUAAAAUCCUGGGCUUGAAGAAUUGAGCUCUGAAGCUCUCAAUUCUCAAACCCUAAACCGCCCGAAACGAUCGCUUCCCUCCGUCGUCACUCUCAAUUGGAUCGACGACUUCACUAUGGAGCAAGACUGCUUGUCCGGCGUCGCCGCCGUCGAGCACGUCCUGCUUAGCCGACGGCAGGGUCGAGUUUGCCUUUGGCUGAGCUCCUCCAAUCCCUCCCGUAGUCCCAUACCUCCCAAGCGCCGCCCAGCGUCGGCUACGUCCUUACUAGUUCAUCCUCUGCCUCGGCUCCGUCGACCGCGCCACUGACUCCGCCGACCUCGGUUGUCAAUCUCUAAUGCAUUUCCGGCGUUACGGCUACGAAGUUUGAGGUACAGUUUCUGUCAAGAUGGAGAAACAAUGGCUGCAAUUUGAUAGAGAAAAGGAACAGACAAAGAAGAGGAAAAGAGGUGAUGAAGAACAGAAAAAGAAGGGGAAAAAGAAGAGGAGGAAGUGGACCAAUCAAUGCUCCAAGCAAUGAUCUUGAAAAUAGCAGAUGUGCACUUUUGAAUUGGAACAAUUAUGAAGAAGAUGAAGUGGUAGCUGAAGGAAUGAUCUCUUCAACAAAUCCAAGUACAAAAGUUCAUUGUGUGCCUCUUGGACGAAAUUGUUGGAAGGUUUGGGUUGAUGUGGUGUUUGAUGAGUAUCAGACUAUGGAAGUGUACAGAUUAACCAUGGAUGCCAAACAACUUGGUGAAGCUAUAGGAAGCACUCUUGCAUGGCCCAAAAGCUCCAUUGAAAUGCUUCCUUAGUAGUUGAAGUAGCAGGUACAUUUUGCUUUACUAGAGAAUUUAUGUAGGUCAGGAAGUACCAUGCAUGUUUUGUCAAUGCUGGUGAACAAAGAAUCCAGUACUUUGUCAUGCAUGUUUUGUAAAGAACAUAUGUAUAAGAGAAUGUGGCACUCCUAAUGAAAUGUAUAUUUUUCAUA